CCUACGGGGGGCAGCAGUGAGGAAUAUUGGUCAAUGGCCGGAAGGCUGAACCAGCCAAGUCGCGUGAGGGACGACUGCCCUAUGGGUUGUAAACCUCUUUUAUAAGGGAAGAAUAAAUGCUACGUGUAGCAUGAUGCCUGUACCUUAUGAAUAAGCAUCGGCUAACUCCGUGCCAGCAGCCGCGGUAAUACGGAGGAUGCGAGCGUUAUCCGGAUUUAUUGGGUUUAAAGGGUGCGUAGGCGGAUCGUUAAGUCAGUGGUCAAAUUGAGGGGCUCAACCCCUUCCCGCCAUUGAAACUGGCGUUCUUGAGUGGAAGAGAAGUAUGCGGAAUGCGUGGUGUAGCGGUGAAAUGCAUAGAUAUCACGCAGAACCCCGAUUGCGAAGGCAGCAUGCCGGCUUCCGACUGACGCUGAAGCACGAAAGCGUGGGGAUCGAACAGGAUUAGAUACCCUUGUAGUC
This 459-nucleotide ribosomal RNA is filed under the name uncultured bacterium. RNAcentral describes it as "partial 16S ribosomal RNA". It matches the Rfam family "Bacterial small subunit ribosomal RNA", at positions 338 to 795 of the family's 1533-position model. The record is from RNAcentral.